UACGGAGGAUCCAAGCGUUAUCCGGAUUUAUUGGGUUUAAAGGGUGCGUAGGCGGCUUUUUAAGUCAGGGGUGAAAGACGGUAGCUCAACUAUCGCAGUGCCCUUGAUACUGAAGAGCUUGAAUGGACUAGAGGUAGGCGGAAUGUGACAAGUAGCGGUGAAGUGCAUAGAUAUGUCACAGAACACCGAUUGCGAAGGCAGCUUACUAUGGUUUUAUUGACGCUGAGGCACGAAAGCGUGGGGAUCAAACAGG
This 253-nucleotide ribosomal RNA is filed under the name uncultured bacterium. RNAcentral's name for it is "partial 16S ribosomal RNA". It matches the Rfam family "Bacterial small subunit ribosomal RNA", at positions 524 to 776 of the family's 1533-position model. The record is from RNAcentral.